GAUGAAGAACGUAGCGAAAUGCGAUAAGUAAUGCGAAUUGCAGAAUCCGUGAGUUAUCGAAUCUUUGAACGCACAUUGCGCCCUCUGGUAUUCCGGAGGGCAUGCCUGUUCGAGCGUCAUUAUCACCCCUCAAGCCCGGCUUGUUGUUGGAUGCAGCGCUUAUCCCGCUCCUCCCAAAGAUAAUGACGGCGUCUGCGACGACUCCUGUACACUGAGCUUUCGGGCACGUACACGGCUAGAAGUCCAGACCCGGUCGCCGUCCCCCCCGCGGGGACACCCAUUACCACAAGGUUGACCUCGGAUCAGGUAGGAAUACCCGCUGAACUUAAGCAUAUCAAUAAGCGGAGGA
Molecule: unclassified non-coding RNA, 349 nt
Filed under: soil metagenome
Description: partial contains 5.8S ribosomal RNA, internal transcribed spacer 2, and large subunit ribosomal RNA
Rfam family: 5.8S ribosomal RNA (bases 1-119)
Source: RNAcentral